UGAGUAACACGUAGGCAACCUGCCCGUAAGCUCGGGAUAACAUGGGGAAACUCAUGCUAAUACCGGAUAGGGUCUUCUCUCGCAUGAGAGGAGACGGAAAGGUGGCGCAAGCUACCACUUACGGAUGGGCCUGCGGCGCAUUAGCUAGUUGGUGGGGUAACGGCCUACCAAGGCGACGAUGCGUAGCCGACCUGAGAGGGUGACCGGCCACACUGGGACUGAGACACGGCCCAGAC
This 236-nucleotide ribosomal RNA is filed under the name actinobacterium ZBS40. RNAcentral describes it as "partial 16S ribosomal RNA". It matches the Rfam family "Bacterial small subunit ribosomal RNA", at positions 107 to 336 of the family's 1533-position model. Lineage: Bacteria; Bacillati; Actinomycetota; Actinomycetes. The record is from RNAcentral.